UUUUCCAAAUAAAUUUUAAUUACCAAUUAUUAUGAUCCUACAUGAUACAAAAUAACCAAAUGAAACCAAACACAAUCUGCUUCUUUUAAGAUGUGUGUAAAUAUCAAACAAACAGUUACUUGUGAUAUGCUUUUGAUCACGGUUGUAAAUUAUCUUUAAAUAAAAAGGAGGAAAAGGAUCUGCAUCAUGGGUUUGGUAUCAGUAGCAAAAUAUUACAAUAAUGCAAAAUAAAUGACAGUACUGAGGAUACUAUCUAUUUUCCUGGUUGUUUUUAUUAUAGGGGGAAAUAAUCCUAAUGUAAUUUCUUAGUCUAUAUAAUUACGUAUAAAAGUUUAUGAAUUAAAAUAAAAUCAUGUAAAUUUUUUGAUACAUGUAAUAAAUUUUGUAAUCAUUUAGUGACUAUUCUUUGUUUAAUAUAUAAACUUAAGGCUUUCUAGUCCUUACUUAACUUAUAAAUAAAUAAUAGAAUUCCAUAUAAAAAAAGAAUCCUCAGUUUGUCUCAACUUUUAAAAAUGACAUCCAAAAACAAUACAAUUCUUAUACAAAGUAAAACUGUGGUAAAAGCUAUAAUAUAAAAAUAUUAAAACAUGCAUGUACAAAUUAUUUUUUGAGAAUUACUCAACUUAUUUACUGGGUAAUUAAAACAAACUAAAUAUCUUGAUCGGUGCAAAAAUGAUUAGAUUACCAAUGAAAUAGCAGAGGUGGGAAAAAUUUGGUUGAUUAUUUAGGAAAUCACUGAAGUACCACUGGAGGAGGCCCCUCUAACAAUCGGUGAGCACCCCCUUUUUUUCCCUUUAUGAAAAUUUCUGGAUCCUCCAGUGAACAGAUUACAUUUCAUUCAUUCACAUUUUUAACCUCAAGCUGUUUUAAACUAUAUAGUUUCUUUACUCCUUCCAAAUUUCUAAGCUAUUUGUUUUUAAAAUUAAGUAGUAUAUUUUUAUAUUUAUUUAUGGAACCCAGGAAGGCAGAUAACUAGUGUUCAGUUAUUAUUUUAUAGUCUGAUUUAUGCAUUAGGCCGGAAUGUGGUAUAGUGAUUCAGUGUAUGAUAUGUUUGCUCAUCCAUCUACAACUUUAACCCACAAUUAUCAAGAUUAAAUGGGACUUUCCCGAUACUUUCAAAUAAUCUUCAGUCUCUGCCGACAUUGUGUACUAUUUUUUAUAACUUCUAAAGGUUCUCUAAUCAAAGAAUGGAUUUUUUCUUUUCUUAUAUCUUAUUACUCAUAUUGAAGGAUAGGUUAGUUCAGCUGAUAUCAACAUAGAUUUAGUUAGAGCAGAUUCUCAACUUGCAUCCACAAAUCUAACAAUUUGAUCAAUCUUCCAAGGACUGCAUCAAUAGUUGAAGGGUGAAAUAGAAUGUUUAUGAAUUUAACAGAGAGUUAAAAGCAUAAAAAUGUCAGAUCUCAUUAUGAAAAUAAAUAUCUGCAUGUAAAAGUUUUUUUUUUUAGUUUCCGAACAAACCCAAUCAUAUUAAGGCUUGGUAUAACAAGAUUUUACAAUAAAAACAAAUAAAAUCAGAUAAAAACCACUAAAAUCAGAUAAAAUCAUAUAAAACACAAAUGUUGUUAUAGCAAACCUUAUAUAUACUUCAAAGCUACAGUGGUAAUAUACUAUUGUCUUGAAGUAGAAUAUAUUGAAAAUUUGUAUUAAUGUCAUGACAAUUUUGUCAUAAU
This 1670-nucleotide long non-coding RNA is filed under the name Mytilus galloprovincialis (Mediterranean mussel). The record is from RNAcentral. Lineage: Eukaryota; Metazoa; Mollusca; Bivalvia; Mytilida; Mytilidae.